Long non-coding RNA from Syngnathus typhle (broad-nosed pipefish), 1860 nucleotides. RefSeq lists it as uncharacterized. The transcript is spliced from 4 exons. The record is from RefSeq and is a predicted model, not a curated record. Lineage: Eukaryota; Metazoa; Chordata; Actinopteri; Syngnathiformes; Syngnathidae.
GGGGGCUUUUUGUUGCCAACUAACAAGGGAGGCGAUAUCACUUACACCACCAUACUGAACAAAGUGUCUUUCACAAGCUCCAGAUUUUUUCAAAACAAGCCAUGAAAACUAAAUCCAGCAAACCCUCAAGUUAAUAGCGAGAUUACAAUUUUUUUUUAAAGCAAUCAGUUUUCACGGCCCGGCCCCCCACAGGGCAACCAAAACCGUGACGUGACCUGCAAUGAAAACCAGCACGACCCCCACAACCCCCUGCCACCCCCCUGAAGGCGUCCCGCAGGUGGACACUAGCAAUAGACGCAGAAGGCAUGGCAACACGUGGACAACAACAUGAAGGGGAUUAGCUGCUAAGGCACACUGGAAACUUCUGUUUUAGCAUCGGCGCUGCAGACAGCGGGACGACAAUCUGGUCCUCUUUCAACAAACACCUCAGCUGCUGCCGUCAGCAGAGUGCCUAAGAAGGACCCCUCCCUGUCUGGGCUUUUCCCUCGUGUAAGUGUGAGCUGCAAGGCCAAACACUCACGCUCAACCUGGAUCGCCACCUCGGGCCGUCCGAGUCACCGCUCUCGUCCGACCCGGGAGGUCACGGCGGGUCACCUCUUCGGGGGGACUCUGUGAAAACAUUUCAUUCGUCUGCUGCGGACUGGCAGUGGAAAAAUAACUUUGGAGCCAUCACGGCGGCCCUCGGAACAACACGGAACGAGACGGACGGCGGAUUCCUCAGCAAGAGCAUCCGCGCACGUCAGUCUGAGAAAGGGAAAAAUGUCGUCCAAGCUUCCACAAGGUGUGACGAACAUCUCAUGCCGCUGCGAGUAAACGCCGCUUCCUCACCCCGCCACCCGCUGUCCCGUUUGCCAAUCUCUGCCUCCUCCCCAUUUAACCUCUGACCCGGCCGGACGGGCCGCUCCGAGACGCUCUUUCACUUGUUAGCUUUGUCCGACUCAGAUGUCAAACUACCUUGAGCGAACGCAGAGAAAAAGUGUGAUGCAACUACAGUGUCAAUACCGGCUGCUAUUUAACACAAUAACAAAGAGCAAAAAUUUGCUGUGCGUGUACCUGCAUGUGUGGUCCGACCACAUCCUUUUUUUUUUUUUCUUCAUCGCAAGAACAACACGGCCACCUGCGAGCUACCGCCAUGGUUCCUUCCCACCAACGGCGAGGUUGGUCACGCAGGUUGCAACGCGAGUGGCGUCACGCGAGGUCAUGUUGGUCUCCCCGCAAUUCUCCUCCAUGGUUACGCCACUCUCUGCAAAUAUAGGAGGCCCGUUUCAACCCAGAUGACAUUUAAACUCGCAAACUGAUUAUUUGAAGACCUUUUUGUUGCCACAUGAAAAAAAAAAAAAACACCGGCCUUGCGGGAUGGAAGUUGUUAACCCAAAACUGAGGAUACGCUCAGAGAUGGGAAUUCACCCAAAAUGGCUACUGGCAGACUUUCUGUACAAUUUCGUACAAGUACACUCAAGUGUAUUUUGGCUUAAAAGUGCCACUUUGAAGCGGCUUGAACAUCCAGUCACAUCCCUCGCGACCUGGCAGGCUACUUCCUAUUGAGGAAAACAUCAAUAUUUGGUAAAAGAAGCCCAACAGAAGCCUCUGGAGCAGCCACAACGCUUCUGUGGGCCCAUGCUGACCUUCAACAUCUUUAACUUUGUGUACACGCUGCCAUUGCCAGCUGUAGCUCAUCUGUAUUUAUGAGCAAAUAUUUCUUUUGGGGAAGCGAGAGUACAUGACAGAGAAAAAAUAUUUUGGAAGUCAAAGUUGGCAUUCCUGGGCCACCGCGAGGAAUUCUGAGGAUGCAGGUACAUCAACAACUGGGAUUUAUUGGGAGGCUGAUGCACUAAUGGAAUAAAUGCACGCUCAAGUUAA